AUUGGUAAUACUUUACGAUCUCUUUAACAAGUGGGUGUAAAAGUAUUAAGAUUCAAUUAUACUUUGCACGAUAUUUGUAAAAGGAGGUCAUUUUAAUGACUGGUAAAGUAAAAUGGUUUAACGCAGAAAAAGGUUUCGGUUUCAUCGAGCGCGAAGACGGAGACGACGUAUUCGUACACUUCUCAGCAAUCCAAGCUGAUGGUUUCAAAACUCUUGAAGAAGGUCAAGAAGUUGAAUUCGAAAUCGUAGAAGGUAACCGCGGACCACAAGCAGCUAACGUAGUUCGUAUAUAAUUACAAAAUAUAUAAGGCCUAUCUCAUCAGGAGGUAGGUCUUUUU
RNAcentral lists this small RNA (338 nucleotides) under Ornithinibacillus halophilus. RNAcentral's name for it is "Ornithinibacillus sp. G8B(2010) cspA thermoregulator". It matches the Rfam family "cspA thermoregulator", at positions 59 to 428 of the family's 428-position model. The record is from Rfam by way of RNAcentral. Lineage: Bacteria; Bacillati; Bacillota; Bacilli; Caryophanales; Bacillaceae.